GGGGGUUCCCCCCGAGGGGCAGGAGCGGCGGCGGGUGCCGGUCCCGUCCCCCCUCCCCGCCGGGGCUGAGGAAGCGGAGGGAGCCGCGUGAAGUGCAAGUGUUCAAGGAAAGGUCCUAAAAUAAGAUUCUCUAAUGUAAGGAAGCUGGAAAUAAAACCGAGGUACCCAUUCUGCGUGGAAGAGAUGAUUAUCGUGACUCUGUGGACACGGGUGAGGGGCGAGCAGCAGCACUGCUUAAACCCCAAACGCCAAAACACAGUGAGACUGCUCAAGUGGUACAGAGUAUGGAAAGAGAAAGGCAGGGUUUAUGAAGAAUAAGAGGAAGCGGCAUGAAGAACAGAGCAGACUCCCUUGGCUGGCAUAGGACUGGGCUCUGCAGAAGAUUAUUUCUCUCUCACAGACAUAAGACACAAUCUAUAUUAUUAUAAAGCACUUUUUACCAAGGGUCAGUUUUUACAUUUUAUAGCCACAUGCAAAAGGCUUCCAGAUUCCACAUGCAUCUGUUGCACUUCAGAUUUCAUACCCGUCUGCUCUGUACUGAGAUUGGGGAAACUCAUGCUUUUCAUUUUAAAGAGGUUGGAUUUGGAUUUGUUGGGGUUUUUUUUAUUGUUAUUCAUUCAUACUUCACUAUGAUUGCAAUCGAGCUUUAUAAGCUCAUUAAACAAACAGUAAUGUUUGUAAAGGUGUUAUACAGCCAUGUCCCUCACCCUUUCGCAGUGGGAAAGCUUCGGUGCUGUGGUUCUUUGUCAUGUUUGCAGCCUCCAAUUUAGUCAGGCAAAGCAGGGACCAAAGAUGAGCUUGCUGGGGAAGAUGCCACUGGAAUGUCAUGGCUGUAACAGCAGAAGUGAGGUCCCUCAGCCCAUCGUCAAUGAGUGUGAACAUCACUUGUGCACCUCUUCUUCAAUGGACUUGAGGUCUUGCUGCAAGGUGAAGCAUACCAGAUCUCCUAUCUAAUGUUCCAUGCAUUAGAAAGCAUUUCUAGGUCAUUUUUAUUACUAAGCAAAUGUUUAUUUUGUUUUUCGUUUUUGGUUUUUUGGGGGUUUUUUUUUUCCAACUGAAGCUCUUACAGAAAGUUUGUGGCUUCAUUACUGAGACAUUUUAAGCUUCAAGACUAUCGUGUAUGAUUUCCUAGAUUUGUAGCAAUGAAAAAAAGCCUUUAAAAGGUACCUUUUUAUGAAAAAAAUAUGAUAGGGCAAACAUAUAAAUACCUAUGUUUUAGUCACAACAUAUUCAUUAUUUUGAAUGUAAUACUUCAAUGUUAAGCAGUGCAUUCCUCUUUCUAAAAUAACAAAACUACCUUUUCAUUUGUAAAUAUACUCUAGGAAGUCUCCCUGUAUUAUCUCGCUGUAUAAUGUACUGUACCGCUAAAUUAUCAUAUGCUAUUUAAAUGGUUGAAAUAUUUAGAAGGUUGCAUGCAGAUUUCAUAUUUCUUUCUAAGACAAAUGAAAAAAAGAAAUAAAAAAUGUAUUUAAAA
This 1474-nucleotide long non-coding RNA is filed under the name Strigops habroptila (Kakapo). Its description in RNAcentral is "lncRNA (ENSSHBG00005007511.1)". The record is from RNAcentral. Lineage: Eukaryota; Metazoa; Chordata; Aves; Psittaciformes; Psittacidae.